UACGGAGGGUCCAAGCGUUAUCCGGAAUCAUUGGGUUUAAAGCGUCCGUAGGCGGCUUUAUAAGUCAGUGGUGAAAGCCCAUCGCUUAACGAUGGAACGGCCAUUGAUACUGUAGAGCUUGAAUUACUUGGAAGUAACUAGAAUAUGUAGUGUAGCGGUGAAAUGCUUAGAUAUUACAUGGAAUACCAAUUGCGAAGGCAGGUUACUACAAGUGGAUUGACGCUGAUGGACGAAAGCGUGGGGAGCGAACAGG
This 253-nucleotide ribosomal RNA is filed under the name uncultured bacterium. RNAcentral describes it as "partial 16S ribosomal RNA". It matches the Rfam family "Bacterial small subunit ribosomal RNA", at positions 524 to 776 of the family's 1533-position model. The record is from RNAcentral.